This 460-nucleotide ribosomal RNA is filed under the name uncultured bacterium. Its description in RNAcentral is "partial 16S ribosomal RNA". It matches the Rfam family "Bacterial small subunit ribosomal RNA", at positions 338 to 795 of the family's 1533-position model. The record is from RNAcentral.
CCUACGGGAGGCAGCAGUGAGGAAUAUUGGUCAAUGGACGCAAGUCUGAACCAGCCAUGCCGCGUGCAGGAAGACGGCUCUAUGAGUUGUAAACUGCUUUUGUACGAGGGUAAACGCAGAUACGCGUAUCUGUCUGCAAGUAUCUUACGAAUAAGGAUCGGCUAACUCCGUUCCAGCAGCCGCGGUAAUACGGAGGAUUCAAGCGUUAUCCGGAUUUAUUGGGUUUAAGGGGUGCGUAGGAGGUCGGAUAAGUUAGAGGUGAAAUCGCGAGGCUAAACUUCGGAAUUGCCUCUGAUACUGGUCGGCUAGAGAGUAGUUGAGGUAGGCGGAAUGUAAGGUGUAGCGGUGAAAUGCGUAGAGAGCAUACAGAACACCGAUUGCGAAGGCAGCUUACCAAGCUACGUCUGACGUUGAGGCACGAAAGCGUGGGGAGCAAACAGGAUUAGAUACCCUUGUAGUC